UACGGAGGGUGCGAGCGUUGUCCGGAAUCAUUGGGCGUAAAGGGUCCGCAGGCGGAAAAAUAAGUCAGUGGUGAAAUCUCACAGCUCAACUGUGAAACUGCCAUUGAUACUGUUUUUCUUGAAUUCGAUCGAAGUGGGCGGAAUGUGACAUGUAGCGGUGAAAUGCUUAGAUAUGUCACAGAACACCGAUAGCGAAGGCAGCUCACUAGGUCUGGAUUGACGCUCAGGGACGAAAGCGUGGGGAGCAAACAGG
This 253-nucleotide ribosomal RNA is filed under the name uncultured bacterium. RNAcentral describes it as "partial 16S ribosomal RNA". It matches the Rfam family "Bacterial small subunit ribosomal RNA", at positions 524 to 776 of the family's 1533-position model. The record is from RNAcentral.